UGUUGAAACACCAAUUCCUGUAUGCUCACCAAAGUUAAGCAAUGUUGAGUAUAGUCAUUACCUAGAUGGGUGACCACUUGGGAAUACCAGGUGCUGUAAG
This is a non-coding RNA of Acanthosepion pharaonis, 100 nucleotides long. NCBI's taxonomy places the organism in Eukaryota, Metazoa, Mollusca, Cephalopoda, Sepiida, Sepiidae. The record is from the annotation of a GenBank genome assembly.